GCAGGGGAGAGAACAAGGAUACAAGAGGAAGAGGACACAGAGGAGGAAGAGGAGGACACAGAAGCAAAGAGGAAGACACAGCAGUCACUUAUCAAGCCUCAGAAACACAGGGUCUGGAAUCGCAACUUCAUAAUACAGGGCGACAGCAGGACCCUGUCAGGCAAGUCGCAGUGCAGCUGACGGCGGCGACAGGUACAGGGAGACAGGUGGUGCCUGGACACAGUAACCCAAGAGGAGAUAUGCAAAUCUUGGCCAGCAAGGGUCGAGCGAAAUGCGAUGGUGCUGGCGGUGGUGGUGGCGGCGGCGGCGGCGGCAGUGGCGGUGGUGGUGGUGGAGCAGCGGAGUUGUCAGCGGUAUUGCAGGUAAGAUCAGUUCGUCAAUCGGAGGGUGAUAAGGGCGACGCUAAGGUUCAGCGACACACCUGCGCAGGUAUUCCUAAUUGGCGCCUCAUUCAGGUGUGUCUCGUGCCGCCCGCCACAGCAGAGUCCACACCUGUGACGCGGAGACAAGACUGCACACUGAAAGGAAGUUUUGAGAAUCUUUUUUCAAACGCCUCCAUUUUCUUUUUUUUUCGACAAAUUUUUUGAUGGAUACGCAACUGAUGUUUUCAUUCGGCGUUCAAAUGUUACUCUAAAGUUUAAGCUUCACUUUGAGUCCGGUGUAGUUUUUUUUCUUUAAAUUUUUGUGUCCUGUAAUGUGGUAAGCCGCGCCAAAAGUAAUUUGUCAAGCGAAGAAGAAAAAACAUGUA
Molecule: long non-coding RNA, 748 nt
Organism: Scylla paramamosain (green mud crab)
Lineage: Eukaryota; Metazoa; Arthropoda; Malacostraca; Decapoda; Portunidae
Exons: 4
Source: RefSeq, a predicted model, not a curated record